CCUAAGUUUCCCUUCUCUAAUCUUUUCCAAUUUUAAUUUCUUUUCCAUUCUCUUAAAUGUCAUUUAGAAUAUUCUCUCUAGGUAUGCACUUCCCCAUCAUGUGGUAUCAUGAGCCUUAGGUUUUUUAUCUUCUUAGGAAUUGCAUGCUAGAGUAGAAUAGCUUAUUUUAAUCAUUUUCGCUCAGCCAAUUUUAUUCCGCCCAGCAUCAGCGUUAUUUUUUGUGUCAACUUGUAUGAUUUCGUUUGAACUCAUUUCUUAUCCAAAUUGAGUGAAAUUUUUUUUAAAAGUUUCGUCUGGAUGUGUAGUUUCAUGUACAAUUUUUACUUUGUUAAAAUUCGUUAUGUGCUGUUCCCAGUAAAAUGUUUUCUCCACUGUGUUCAUCCAGUAUUCUGCUGUUGAAUUAAUAUUCCACUGUUUUGCUUUGUUGUUGGCUGUUUGGAGUUUGUUGUGGCUGGAAUUACUCACUGGACGUUGCUACACCCUCCCAACACUCUUAAGCAAGGAUUAAAGACUUCAAAUCAAUGCUUGGAGGGGCUGAACCAUGGCUGUCCAGAGCCUUGUGCAAGUAGACAUUUCUUCAAACAGCAACUAUGCUAUUGGAGGUCUUCAACAAACACAGUUCAGAUGAGGAGGAAAAUCUUAACACAGACAUGUAAGAUGUGGAGAGAUUUCAAGACAAGGCUAACAUGUCUGUGUGUAUUUGGAGACAGACAACAUGAGAAUCCAUCUAAGGAAUAUUCAUUCACAUAAAAAGAAUGGAUUCAAUUUCGUAAAAGUAGAGAGACUGAGGAAUGGAAGGGUAUAAGGUUAGCUGCCCAAGAAAGGCAAAGGCUAAAUGAUGCACCACACGUGUUAUCACGAGGUGGUUAUGCGAAACUGGAGGAGAAACUUAAGAAGAGUCAAGCGGAUGAGUUGGGGCUUGAGUCCCCAGACCUAGCACCUCCACCAAUAAGGAUGAGUUGGUUGAGCAGCAGACGCAGGGAACAUUUACUCCCCAAGGUAAGGAGGACAUAUUAACAACGACCAUUGGAAAACCGGAGCACCCAGGACGUGUACGUGCAGUUCCUGGGUCCAUUGGUCUUCGUCAGUACUUUGGCCCUGUGCAAAAAACAACUCAAAUCCCACAAGGAACGAGUCAGGAGGCAUUGAGGGAGAUGGAUCGUCAGUGGGAAGAAAUAUUUCGUCAAAUGGAGCAGCGAUUCAAUGAGCAACUACAAGAACAAAAACAAAUACAAAGAGCGCUUGAGGAGAAGCUACAGUCCAUGACGCAGGGCACCCUAGGUGUGCCAACUGAAACUCCCACACCCCCUCCUGCCAGCACCAAAGGAUCGUGCUCUGCUGCUGAACCUACUAGCUACAGUGGUCAGUAUGACAUGUUGGUUGAAGGGGAUCCCGCACGCAUUAUGGCUGUUGGACGAGUAGUUGAGGGAGGAGUCACUAUUCAUGGUGUUCCCAUAGCACCCGAGCACGUGCGUGUCAUGAUUGACGAGGUUCGGGAUCCCCAGGCUCAGGUGCCUGUACCCACUCCAGAAAUUCAAUUUGUGGGAGAGGCCGUAGGAACUGUUUUAGCUUGGCCUAGAGCAUUGAUUGUCACACACAUUGGGACACAACAGUUCACACGUCCUCAAAAGCAGCCGAUGAAUGAGGAACCAAUACCUGAUGCUGAUGAUGGUGAUGACAUGGCUGAAGCGGAGGAUGAUCCCAUAUCAAAACUAAUGGCAAGAUGUCCCAGGUUUACCAAAGGAUCAGUAGAAAUAUACUGGGAUUUAAGAGUAUUUGGUCUCCCCCCCACUUGCCAUUAUAUAUCACAUUCAAUGAUGUAUCGGAGAUCAUUUCGGGCAACAUGUGGUUGAAUAUUUCUGUUAUUCAACUCUGGUGCAUGACUCACUGGCAACUGGUAGUCCUCGUUCCCAAAAAAAAUACAGUUGUCUUCUUAUGUUUGCUGCAUAAGAAGAUUAAAGAUGACUUGAAAGUCCUGCUUCAAAGAGUAAUGGGUAAAUCUCGAGGUCAGCUAAAACAAGUGUUGUAUCCCAAGUGUAACAAACAACUUGAUUCAUGGGAAUGUGGGUACUAUGUGAUGUG
Vigna radiata var. radiata (mung bean) is the source of this 2082-nucleotide RNA transcript. RefSeq lists it as uncharacterized. NCBI's taxonomy places the organism in Eukaryota, Viridiplantae, Streptophyta, Magnoliopsida, Fabales, Fabaceae. The transcript is spliced from 8 exons. The record is from RefSeq and is a predicted model, not a curated record.